UGUAGGGCCGCUUCAGACCUAGGUACGCCGUGUCGCUUCGCCCCCACCCCCACGCGGAUCCGCCCAGCCGAGUUGCCUCGGGUCGUCGCCCCUUGGAUCAACCGUCGAUGAGUCGCCGCCGCCCCAAACCGAGAGCCGCCAAUGUGUCAUUUAUUCCUCCUUUCUAGUUAAUGAUUUGUAGAUGAAUUUUCAUUCGUGCGAGAUCGAGUGCGAUUUUAGAUGGAUUCGUUUCUCUCCCCCCUCCCUCUCACGGAUCCGCCGAGCCGAGUUGCCUUCGGGUCGUCGCCCCCCUGGAUCAACCGUCGACGAGUCGUCGCUUGCCCUGUAUUCGUCCAGCCGAGCCGCCCCAAAUCGAUCCCCGCGGAUGGAUUCGCUUCGCCCCCCUCCUCCCUCACGGAUCUGCCCAGCCGAGUUGUCCCCGGGUCGUCGCUCCCUAGAUCAACCGCCGACGAGUCGCCGCUCACCCCGGAUUCGUCCAACUGAGCCAUCUGUGGGUCACCGUCGCCCCAAAUCAACCGCCGCCAGUGUGUCCUUUUUUGCCCCCUUCUAGUUUGACUUAGCGAAGAAUUUGUAGAUGAAUUUCCGUUCAUCCGAGAUCGGGUGCCAUUUGUAGAUGGAUUUGAGCCCUUGCGGAGAAUUUUUGCCCGACAAUUCGUCCUUGUAUCAUAGCUGUAUCUGGAACAAUUCUUGUAUUGAAUUAUUAGUUUAAUUCAGUGAUUUAAAUAAUUAUUAUAA
Molecule: long non-coding RNA, 735 nt
Organism: Hordeum vulgare subsp. vulgare (domesticated barley)
Lineage: Eukaryota; Viridiplantae; Streptophyta; Magnoliopsida; Poales; Poaceae
Exons: 2
Source: RefSeq, a predicted model, not a curated record